AGUGAACGCUGGCGGCAGGCCUAAUACAUGCAAGUCGAACGGCAGCACAGCAGAGCUUGCUCUGUGGGUGGCGAGUGGCGGACGGGUGAGGAAUACAUGGGAAUCUGCCCAGUCGUGGGGGAUAACGUAUGGAAACGUACGCUAAUACCGCAUGCGCCCUACGGGGGAAAGCCGGGGACCGCAAGGCCUGGCGCGAUUGGAUGAGCCCAUGUUCGAUUAGCUAGUUGGCGGGGUAAAGGCCCACCAAGGCGACGAUCGAUAGCUGGUCUGAGAGGAUGAUCAGCCACACUGGAACUGAGACACGGUCCAGACUCCUACGGGAGGCAGCAGUAGGGGAAUAUUGGACAAUGGGGGCGAACCCUGAUCCAGCCAUGCCGCGUGAGUGAAGAAGGCCCUCGGGUUGUAAAGCUCUUUUGUCCGGAAAGAAAAGCAUCUGGUUAAUACCCGGGUGUUCUGACGGUACCGGAAGAAUAAGCACCGGCUAACUUCGUGCC
Molecule: ribosomal RNA, 494 nt
Filed under: uncultured bacterium
Lineage: Bacteria
Description: bacterial SSU rRNA
Rfam family: Bacterial small subunit ribosomal RNA
Source: RNAcentral